This 393-nucleotide ribosomal RNA is filed under the name uncultured bacterium. RNAcentral describes it as "partial 16S ribosomal RNA". It matches the Rfam family "Bacterial small subunit ribosomal RNA", at positions 523 to 918 of the family's 1533-position model. The record is from RNAcentral.
AUACGGAGGAUGCGAGCGUUAUCCGGAUUUAUUGGGUUUAAAGGGAGCGUAGGCGGGAGCUUAAGUCAGCGGUUAAAUGGUGCGGCUCAACCGUGCCCUGCCGUUGAAACUGGGUUUCUUGAGAGUGCAAGAGGCGGAUGGAAUUCAUGGUGUAGCGGUGGAAUGCUUAGAUAUCAUGAAGAACUCCGGUUGCGAAGGCAGUCCGCUGGGGCACGUCUGACGCUGAUGCUCGAAGGUGCGGGAAUCAAACAGGAUUAGAUACCCUGGUAGUCCGCACAGUAAACGAUGGACACCCGCGGUUUGGCCUGUAUGGCUGAGCCGCCAAGCGAAAGCGUUAAGUGUCCCACCUGGGGAGUACGCCGGCAACGGUGAAACUCAAAGGAAUUGGCGGGG